GCGAGCACGAUGCGAGCAGCAGCAGCAGAGCCCGACGAACUCCAGAGCUCGCAGCCGACGCAGGCCGCCGUCUGCGUGACGGGCCUCCGCCCGCACCUCCCACCGUAGCACGCCGCAAUGGAGGCCAAGCGCCCAUGGAAUCGCCUGAGCUCUCCUCCCAGCCGCCGUUCUCCUUCAAAUUCGUCGGGAUCCGGUUGGAUCUAGACGCCGGCGCCCCGUUCCCGACCUUCCCGCCUUGCUUGGGUCGUCGGCCACCGCGACGAUGUCAAUAUCGCUCGCGGGAUCCAGCGCCACCGCUGCUGGCCACUUCCUCGCCGGAGAUGCCCCCACAUCCGCGGCUCCCCACACGAGCAGCAGCAGCGAACACGUCGCUAAGGCCGUCUCCGGCGGUGUCUUUUUCUUUUUAUAGAAGUUUGCCAAAUCUGUGCCAGAACAGCCAUGGCGAUGAACUCCAGCUCAAGGCCCGCGAGCGCUUGGUGGCGUUUGAUGCGGUGCCUGGAGAAUAUCUCUGGGCAGAGUAGUAGGCCAGAUCUAGUUUAGGAAAAAAAAUCUGUAAUUCCAAGUUUUUCUUGUGUAUUUCUUCUUUUUGGUAAAACAAAUUUUAGUUAUCUGGUAUUUUUAUGCAAUUUCCUUUUCUA
Long non-coding RNA from Triticum dicoccoides, 638 nucleotides. RefSeq lists it as uncharacterized. The record is from RefSeq and is a predicted model, not a curated record. Lineage: Eukaryota; Viridiplantae; Streptophyta; Magnoliopsida; Poales; Poaceae. The transcript has 2 exons.